AGCUUUGCGCAGUGGCGGUACCAUAGGCAAUGAGGCUUAUCCCAGGUGUGGUUAUUACUAGUUGAAGCUAUACCCAAUACUG
RNAcentral lists this small nuclear RNA (82 nucleotides) under Lingula anatina. RNAcentral's name for it is "U4 spliceosomal RNA". It matches the Rfam family "U4 spliceosomal RNA", at positions 1 to 83 of the family's 138-position model. Rfam says of the family: U4 small nuclear RNA (U4 snRNA) is a component of the major U2-dependent spliceosome. Lineage: Eukaryota; Metazoa; Brachiopoda; Lingulata; Lingulida; Lingulidae. The record is from Rfam by way of RNAcentral.